UUGGACAAUGGGCGAAAGCCUGAUCCAGCCAUGCCGCGUGUGUGAAGAAGGUCUUCGGAUUGUAAAGCACUUUAAGUUGGGAGGAAGGGCUGCAAGCUAAUACCUUGUAGUUUUGACGUUACCAACAGAAUAAGCACCGGCUAACUUCGUGCCAGCAGCCGCGGUAAUACGAAGGGUGCAAGCGUUAAUCGGAAUUACUGGGCGUAAAGCGCGCGUAGGUGGUUUGGUAAGAUGGAUGUGAAAUCCCCGGGCUCAAACUGGGAACUGCAUCCAUAACUGCCUGACUAGAGUACGGUAGAGGGUGGUGGAAUUUCGUGUGUAGCGGUGAAAUGCGUAGAUAUAGGAAGGAACACCAGUGGCGAAGGCGACCACCUGGACUGAUACUGACACUGAGGUGCGAAAGCGUGGGGAGCAAACA
RNAcentral lists this ribosomal RNA (418 nucleotides) under uncultured bacterium. RNAcentral describes it as "bacterial SSU rRNA". It matches the Rfam family "Bacterial small subunit ribosomal RNA", at positions 364 to 774 of the family's 1533-position model. The record is from RNAcentral.